Molecule: ribosomal RNA, 254 nt
Filed under: uncultured bacterium
Lineage: Bacteria
Description: partial 16S ribosomal RNA
Rfam family: Bacterial small subunit ribosomal RNA
Source: RNAcentral
GACGUAGGGCGCAAGCGUUGUCCGGAUUUAUUGGGCGUAAAGAGCUCGUAGGCGGCUUGUCGCGUCGACUGUGAAAACCCGUGGCUCAACCAUGUGGUCUGCAGUCGAUACGGGCAGGCUAGAAUUCGGUAGGGGAGACUGGAAUUCCUGGUGUAGCGGUGAAAUGCGCAGAUAUCAGGAGGAACACCAGUGGCGAAGGCGGCUACCUGGACCGGUUCUGACGCUGAGGCGCGAAAGCGUGGGUAGCAAACAGG